Molecule: ribosomal RNA, 373 nt
Filed under: uncultured bacterium
Lineage: Bacteria
Description: bacterial SSU rRNA
Rfam family: Bacterial small subunit ribosomal RNA
Source: RNAcentral
ACGUAGGGUGCGAGCGUUAAUCGGAAUUACUGGGCGUAAAGCGUGCGCAGGCGGUUGUGCAAGACAGGUGUGAAAUCCCCGGGCUUAACCUGGGAACUGCGCUUGUGACUGCACGACUAGAGUACGGCAGAGGGGGGUGGAAUUCCUGGUGUAGCAGUGAAAUGCGUAGAUAUCAGGAGGAACACCGAUGGCGAAGGCAGCCCCCUGGGCCUGUACUGACGCUCAUGCACGAAAGCGUGGGGAGCAAACAGGAUUAGAUACCCUGGUAGUCCACGCCCUAAACGAUGUCGACUAGUUGUUCGGGAAGGUGACUUCUUGAGUAACGUAGCUAACGCGUGAAGUCGACCGCCUGGGGAGUACGGCCGCAAGGUUA